Molecule: ribosomal RNA, 234 nt
Filed under: Triticum aestivum (bread wheat)
Lineage: Eukaryota; Viridiplantae; Streptophyta; Magnoliopsida; Poales; Poaceae
Description: partial small subunit ribosomal RNA
Source: RNAcentral
AUGAUGGCCGGUCAUAGUUUAGUAAAGAUUUUAGGUGGGUUUGCUUGGACUAUGCUAUUUCUGAAUAAUAUUUUCUAUUUCAUAGGAGAUCUUGGUCCCUUAUUUAUAGUUCUAGCAUUAACCGGUCUGGAAUUAGGUGUAGCUAUAUCACAAGCUCAUGUUUCUACGAUCUCAAUUUGUAUUUACUUGAAUGAUGCUACAAAUCUCCAUCAAAAUGAGUCAUUUCAUAAUUGA